Molecule: ribosomal RNA, 433 nt
Filed under: uncultured bacterium
Lineage: Bacteria
Description: partial 16S ribosomal RNA
Rfam family: Bacterial small subunit ribosomal RNA
Source: RNAcentral
AACGAACGCUGGCGGCAUGCCUAACACAUGCAAGUCGAACGAAACCAUCGGGUCUAGUGGCGCAUGGGUGCGUAACGCGUGGGAACCUGCCCUUAGGUUCGGAAUAACUCCCCGAAAGGGGUGCUAAUACCGGAUAAUAUCUUCGGACCAAAGAUUUAUCGCCUUUGGAUGGGCCCGCGUUGGAUUAGCUAGUUGUUAGGGUAAAAGCCUACCAAGGCGACGAUCCAUAGCUGGUCAGAGAGGAUGAUCAGCCACACUGGGACUGAGACACGGCCCAGACUCCUACGGGAGGCAGCAGUGGGGAAUAUUGGACAAUGGGCGAAAGCCUGAUCCAGCAAUGCCGCGUAAGUGAUGAAGGCCUUAGGGUUGUAAAGCUCUUUUACCCGGGAUGAUAAUGACAGUACCGGGAGAAUAAGCUCCGGCUAACUCCGUG